GACACACUAUCAUUAACUGAAUCCAUAGGUUAAUGAGGCGAACCGGGGGAACUGAAACAUCUAAGUACCCCGAGGAAAAGAAAUCAACCGAGAUUCCCCCAGUAGCGGCGAGCGAACGGGGAGCAGCCCAGAGCCUGAAUCAGUAUGUGUGUUAGUGGAAGCGUCUGGAAAGGCGCGCGAUACAGGGUGACAGCCCCGUACACAAAAAUGCACAUGCUGUGAGCUCGAUGAGUAGGGCGGGACACGUGGUAUCCUGUCUGAAUAUGGGGGGACCAUCCUCCAAGGCUAAAUACUCCUGACUGACCGAUAGUGAACCAGUACCGUGAGGGAAAGGCGAAAAGAACCCCGGCGAGGGGAGUGAAAAAGAACCUGAAACCGUGUACGUACAAGCAGUGGGAGCACGCUUAGGCGUGUGACUGCGUACCUUUUGUAUAAUGGGUCAGCGACUUAUAUUCUGUAGCAAGGUUAACCGAAUAGGGGAGCCGAAGGGAAACCGAGUCUUAACUGGGCGUUAAGUUGCAGGGUAUAGACCCGAAACCCGGUGAUCUAGCCAUGGGCAGGUUGAAGGUUGGGUAACACUAACUGGAGGACCGAACCGACUAAUGUUGAAAAAUUAGCGGAUGACUUGUGGCUGGGGGUGAAAGGCCAAUCAAACCGGGAGAUAGCUGGUUCUCCCCGAAAGCUAUUUAGGUAGCGCCUCGUGAAUUCAUCUCCGGGGGUAGAGCACUGUUUCGGCAAGGGGGUCAUCCCGACUUACCAACCCGAUGCAAACUGCGAAUACCGGAGAAUGUUAUCACGGGAGACACACGGCGGGUGCUAACGUCCGUCGUGAAGAGGGAAACAACCCAGACCGCCAGCUAAGGUCCCAAAGUCAUGGUUAAGUGGGAAACGAUGUGGGAAGGCCCAGACAGCCAGGAUGUUGGCUUAGAAGCAGCCAUCAUUUAAAGAAAGCGUAAUAGCUCACUGGUCGAGUCGGCCUGCGCGGAAGAUGUAACGGGGCUAAACCAUGCACCGAAGCUGCGGCAGCGACGCUGAUGCGUUGUUGGGUA
RNAcentral lists this ribosomal RNA (1049 nucleotides) under Escherichia coli. RNAcentral describes it as "partial 23S ribosomal RNA". It matches the Rfam family "Bacterial large subunit ribosomal RNA", at positions 142 to 1230 of the family's 2925-position model. Lineage: Bacteria; Pseudomonadati; Pseudomonadota; Gammaproteobacteria; Enterobacterales; Enterobacteriaceae. The record is from RNAcentral.